This 22-nucleotide non-coding RNA is filed under the name Arabidopsis thaliana (thale cress). Lineage: Eukaryota; Viridiplantae; Streptophyta; Magnoliopsida; Brassicales; Brassicaceae. The record is from RNAcentral.
UGCGUGGUAACUGGUAUUCAUU